AUUGAACGCUGGCGGAAUGCUUUACACAUGCAAGUUGAACGGCAGCACGGGGCAACCUGGUGGCGAGUGGCGAACGGGUGAGUAAUAUAUCGGAACGUGCCCAAUCGUGGGGGAUAACGUAGCGAAAGUUACGCUAAUACCGCAUACGAUCUACGGAUGAAAGCGGGGGAUCGCAAGACCUCGCGCGAAUGGAGCGGCCGAUAUCAGAUUAGGUAGUUGGUGGGGUAAAGGCUCACCAAGCCAACGAUCUGUAGCUGGUCUGAGAGGACGACCAGCCACACUGGAACUGAGACACGGUCCAGACUCCUACGGGAGGCAGCAGUGGGGAAUUUUGGACAAUGGGCGCAAGCCUGAC
This 355-nucleotide ribosomal RNA is filed under the name uncultured bacterium. Its description in RNAcentral is "bacterial SSU rRNA". It matches the Rfam family "Bacterial small subunit ribosomal RNA", at positions 30 to 387 of the family's 1533-position model. The record is from RNAcentral.